Molecule: non-coding RNA, 210 nt
Filed under: Candidatus Tokpelaia
Lineage: Bacteria; Pseudomonadati; Pseudomonadota; Alphaproteobacteria; Hyphomicrobiales
Also listed under: 1 other name
Source: RNAcentral
CACAAAAGAGAGUGUCAUGGUUCUCAUGCCUGUCUUUGGCAGGCUUGAACCAAGAGGGAAAACGGUGCGGAUGAUUUCCAAAGCCGGUGCUGCCCCCGCAACUGUAAACGGAUGAGUCUUUGUUCACGACGCCACUUGGAAUUUCUCAGGGAAGGCGAACAAAAACAGUGACCCGUAAGCCAGGAGACCUGCCAUGACAUGAAUAUAACU